Molecule: transfer RNA, 73 nt
Filed under: Stegodyphus mimosarum
Lineage: Eukaryota; Metazoa; Arthropoda; Arachnida; Araneae; Eresidae
Rfam family: tRNA
About the family: Transfer RNA (tRNA) molecules are approximately 80 nucleotides in length. Their secondary structure includes four short double-helical elements and three loops (D, anti-codon, and T loops).
Source: Rfam by way of RNAcentral
GCCUUCGUGGUGUAGUGGUCAGCACGCUGGGCGCGUAUUCCAGAGGUCCGUGGUUCGAAUCUCGGCGAAGGGG